CUGCUGGAGACGGACGAUGACAGUGAAAUCAAAAGGCUCCGGUGCAGUGUUUCUGUCUGACAAAGCUUCAGCUGGCCACUCUGAAGAGCAUGUUGCUGAGAGAACCACAUCUCCACAGAGGACUUAAGAAGUCAAGUCUGAUUCCAACUUGACUGCCCCUGGUUAUGAAAAUCUGCACUCAGAGACUACAACGGUACGUCCUCAUAGGAGUUUAAGCUGACUAAAGAAAAAAACAAUUCUGAUUUUUGCAUUGUCAAAAGCUUCACGUCCUCAUGUUUGUGUCU
RNAcentral lists this long non-coding RNA (284 nucleotides) under Mastacembelus armatus (zig-zag eel). RNAcentral's name for it is "lncRNA (ENSMAMG00000024340.1)". The record is from RNAcentral. Lineage: Eukaryota; Metazoa; Chordata; Actinopteri; Synbranchiformes; Mastacembelidae.